GUGGGGGUGGGGUCAGGCAGACCUUCCUUGACUAAGGAUCCAGACCUGGUAUUUCUGACUCCAACAUCUCCCUUCUUGACCCCCACACUAUAUGGCCCACCCAGAGGACAGGUCAUUCACUGGCUGCCUAAAGGAUUUUGAGUUCUCUAACCUUGCUGUUUCUUCUUGAUACCAGUGUGAUCACAGUGUGCGUUUGUGAGAUGCUGACCUUGGGUGUUCAAUAGAACAGAAUGAACUGACCAGAAACUAAGUAGGCGCAUUAUACGUGACUUGCUUGAGACUGAAGAGAUUUACAUAAAAGAGAUUAAAAGCAUAAUUGAUGGAUAUAUCACUCCAAUGGAUUUUAUUUGGCUAAAGCAUCUAAUUCCAGAUGUUCUUCAGAAUAACAAGGACUUUCUCUUUGGGAAUAUUAGAGAACUUUACGAAUUUCACAACAGGACUUUUCUAAAAGAGUUGGAAAAGUGUGCUGAGAACCCUGAACUUCUGGCACAUUGCUUUCUCAAGAGAAAAGAAGAUCUUCAGAUAUAUUUUAAAUACCAUAAGAAUCUGCCCCGAGCUAGGGCAAUCUGGCAAGAG
RNAcentral lists this long non-coding RNA (576 nucleotides) under Homo sapiens (human). Its description in RNAcentral is "HSALNT0065375". The record is from RNAcentral. Lineage: Eukaryota; Metazoa; Chordata; Mammalia; Primates; Hominidae.